Molecule: transfer RNA, 77 nt
Filed under: Micromonosporaceae bacterium
Lineage: Bacteria; Bacillati; Actinomycetota; Actinomycetes; Micromonosporales; Micromonosporaceae
Description: tRNA-Met
Rfam family: tRNA
About the family: Transfer RNA (tRNA) molecules are approximately 80 nucleotides in length. Their secondary structure includes four short double-helical elements and three loops (D, anti-codon, and T loops). Further hydrogen bonds mediate the characteristic L-shaped molecular structure. tRNAs have two regions of fundamental functional importance: the anti-codon, which is responsible for specific mRNA codon recognition, and the 3' end, to which the tRNAs corresponding amino acid is attached (by aminoacyl-tRNA synthetases). tRNAs cope with the degeneracy of the genetic code in two manners: having more than one tRNA (with a specific anti-codon) for a particular amino acid; and 'wobble' base-pairing, i.e. permitting non-standard base-pairing at the 3rd anti-codon position.
Source: RNAcentral
UGCGGGGUGGUGCAUGUUGGUUGCACACCGGGCUCAUAAUCCGGCCUACGCGGGUUCGAUUCCCGUCCCCGCCACCA